Molecule: ribosomal RNA, 1588 nt
Filed under: uncultured bacterium
Lineage: Bacteria
Description: bacterial SSU rRNA
Rfam family: Bacterial small subunit ribosomal RNA
Source: RNAcentral
AGAGUUUGAUUAUGGCUCAGGAUGAACGCUGGCGGCGUGCCUAAUACAUGCAAGUCGGACGAAGGCAUCGGAAUGGUAACAGGAAGAUGACUUAGUGGCGUAUGGGUGAGUAACGCGUUGGCGACCUACCCCAUAGAGGGGGAUAACACCGGGAAACUGGUGCUAAUACCCCACGAGGUUGGAGGGAUUAGAAGCCCUCUAAAGAAAGGAUAAAACCGCUAUGGGAGGGGCCUGCGUCCCAUCAGCUAGUUGGUAAGGUAACGGCUUACCAAGGCGACGACGGGUAGGGGACCUGAGAGGGUGACCCCCCACACUGGCACUGAAACACGGGCCAGACACCUACGGGUGGCAGCAGUAGGGAAUAUUGCACAAUGGGCGAAAGCCUGAUGCAGCAACGCCGCGUGCGCGAUGAAGGCCUUCGGGUCGUAAAGCGCUUUUCUGAGGGACGAGAAAGGACGGUACCUCAUGAAGAAGGUUCGGCUAACUACGUGCCAGCAGCCGCGGUAAAACGUAGGAACCGAGCGUUAUCCGAAUUUACUGGGCGUAAAGCGCGUGCAGGCGGGUUUGGUAAGUUAGAUGUGAAAGCUCCUGGCUUAACUAGGAGAGGCCGCUUUAAAACUGCCAGGCUAGAGGACGGUAGAAGGGGGGUGGAAUCCCCGGGUAGUGGUGAAANGCGUAGAWWUCGGGAGGAACACCUGUGGCGAAGUGCGGCCCCCUGGGCCGUACCUGACGCUGAUACGCGAAAGCUAGGGGAGCAAACSGGAUUAGAUACCYCGGUAGNMCUARCUGUAAACNANGUGAACUUGNCSUUGSGGGGUAAAAUCCCACAGUGCCGAAGCAAACGCGAUAAGUUCACCGCCUGGGGACUACGGCCGCAAGGCUAAAACUCAAAAGAAUUGGCGGGGGCCCGCACGAGCAGCGGAGCGUGUGGUUUAAUUCGAUGCUACACGAAGAACCUUACCAGGGUUUGACAUGCAAGUGGUAGGGAGCUGAAAGACGAACGACCCUUCGGGGAGCUUGCACAGGUGCUGCAUGGCUGUCGUCAGCUCGUGUCGUGAGAUGUCCUGUUAAGUCAGGUAACGAGCGCAACCCUUGUCGUAUGUUACAAGUGUCAUACGAGACUGCCGGUUUAGUGCCGGAGGAAGGCGGGGAUGACGUCAAGUCAGCAUGGCCUUUAUAUCCUGGGCUACACACACGCUACAAUGGUCGGUACAAUAGGUUGCAAAACCGUGAGGUGGAGCCAAUCCCAAAAGCCGACCUCAGUUCGGAUUGCAGGCUGCAACUCGCCUGCAUGAAGCCGGAGUUGCUAGUAACCGCGCGUCAGACACAGUGCGGUGAAUACGUUCCCGGGCCUUGCACACACCGCCCGUCACGUCAUGGAAGUCGGCAAAACCUGAAGCCGGUAGCCUAACCGUAAGGAGGGCGCCGUCAAAGGUGGGGCUGGUGACUGGGACGAAGUCGUAACAAGGUAGCAGUACCGGAAGGUGCGGCUGGAUCACCUCCUUUCUGAAGGGCGAAUUCUGCAGAUAUCCAUCACACUGGCGGCCGCUCGAGCAUGCAUCUAGAGGGCCCAAUCGCCCUAUAGAGC